AGCAAUUGGCUGGGGUGUUUUUCCGCUCUGUGGGAGAUUUGUUCUUUCGCUUUUUGGGUCCACGCUGCGUUUGUGAGCUGUAACACCGUGAAGGUCUGCAGCUUCACUCCUGAAGUCAGGCGAGAAGACUACGAACCCACCUGGAGGAACGAACAACUCCAGACUCGCCGCAUUAAGAGCGGUAACACCGCGAAGGUCUGCAGCUUCACUCCUGAGCCAGCGAGAUCACGAACCCACCGGAAGGCUGUAACAUAUCUGAACAUCAGAAGGAACAAACUCCGGACAGGCCGCCUUCAGGAACUGUAACACUCACCGCGAGGGUCCGUAGCUUCAUUCUUGAAGUCAGUGAGACCAAGAGCCCACCAAUUCCGGACACAACAGGACACACUGCGGCUUCUCCUGGCUUUUUCAAAGUUCAGCCCAAGAGGAAGAGAGACCUAAUUAAUACCCAGGAGAUGGUGGUGUUUAUUUUUUCCAGCUGGGACAACUAAGGCCCCGAGAGGAGAAAGGGACUAUCCGGGGUACAGAGGCCACUGAGUCAGAGCUAGGACCAACAUAUCACCAGCUCUCCCUCUUCAGCGCAGACCCCAACUCACCAGCGGUGGCUUCCUGAAGAGCUGGGUUAAGGAGGAUUCUGAGGUGCAGCAGAGCUCGCUAAGAGGCUGACGGGUAAGGGGUGCUGCGCUGUGAGCACAGGAGCCAGGUGGGUGUUGCCUGCCAUCCCCUCUACCUCUCCCUCUUCUCUCUGCCACCUCGGUUUUUCUCCAUCCUUUCACUCACCCCCGACCCGCCAUUGUUUCACCUGCCUGGAAAUGGCACCCUUCGUUGAGAGUAAGGAUAGGGCCUCUGCUGUGCCCAGGCCACGUUUCUGGGCCUCUUUUUUCCUCUCCCAGGUCUGAAGGGGCCUCAGUUUGGGGUUCUUAAGGGCCCAGAGACCUGUGAACAGUUGCUCCCUCCCCUACUUAGUGGCCCACGUGGAACUCAAGAGUAUCCCGCUCCGUGGCUGUUCAGAAAUGCAGCAGCACAGCCCCCAGGCAGCAAUCGUUCAGGAGCGCUGGGAAGCCCACAGCCAGCCUGAGCCCUCCGAGAUGCCUCUAGACUCUGGGCCCGGGAUCAAUACUUG
Molecule: long non-coding RNA, 1123 nt
Filed under: Homo sapiens (human)
Lineage: Eukaryota; Metazoa; Chordata; Mammalia; Primates; Hominidae
Description: non-protein coding lnc-RNFT2-1:4
Source: RNAcentral